GGAAGUAAAAGUGUAACAAGGUUUCCGUAGGUGAACCUGCGGAAGGAUCAUUAUCGUACAAAAUGUGAGGGGCAUGCGAGGGCUGUCGCUGACCCAAAAGUCGUGCACGCCCGAGUGUGUCCUCUUGCAUAAUAAUCCAUCUCACCCUUUGUGCAUCACCGCGUGGGCACCCUUCGGGAUCAUCUCGGAGGGGGGCUCGCGUUUUCACACAAACCCCCCUUUUAAAAGUGUAGAAUAACCACAUUUAUGCAAUCAAUACAACUUUCAACAACGGAUCUCUUGGCUCUC
Molecule: unclassified non-coding RNA, 288 nt
Filed under: plant metagenome
Description: partial contains small subunit ribosomal RNA, internal transcribed spacer 1, and 5.8S ribosomal RNA
Rfam family: Eukaryotic small subunit ribosomal RNA (bases 1-53)
Source: RNAcentral